Molecule: ribosomal RNA, 339 nt
Filed under: uncultured bacterium
Lineage: Bacteria
Description: bacterial SSU rRNA
Rfam family: Bacterial small subunit ribosomal RNA
Source: RNAcentral
GUACUACUCUCAGAGUUUGAUCCUGGCUCAGGACGAACGCUGGCGGCGUGCCUAACACAUGCAAGUCGAACGGGGUGAUUCGCUUCGGUGGAUCACUUAGUGGCGAACGGGUGAGUAACGCGUGAGAAACCUGCCUUUCAGUGGGGGACAACAGUUGGAAACGACUGCUAAUACCGCAUAAUGUUAUUUAGGGGCAUCCCUGAAUAACCAAAGCUUUAUGUGCUGAAAGAUGGUCUCGCGUCUGAUUAGCUAGAUGGCGGGGUAACGGCCCACCAUGGCGACGAUCAGUAGCCGGUCUGAGAGGAUGAACGGCCACAUUGGGACUGAGAUACGGCCCAG